RNAcentral lists this ribosomal RNA (568 nucleotides) under Rhodotorula diobovata. Its description in RNAcentral is "LSU rRNA". It matches the Rfam family "Eukaryotic large subunit ribosomal RNA", at positions 64 to 643 of the family's 3401-position model. The record is from RNAcentral. Lineage: Eukaryota; Fungi; Basidiomycota; Microbotryomycetes; Sporidiobolales; Sporidiobolaceae.
ACUAACAAGGAAUUCCCCUAGUAGCGGCGAGCGAAGCGGGAAGAGCUCAAAUUUAUAAUCUGGCACCUUCGGUGUCCGAGUUGUAAUCUCUAGAAGUGUUUUCCGCGUUGGACCGCACACAAGUCUGUUGGAAUACAGCGGCAUAGUGGUGAAACCCCCGUAUAUGGUGCGGACGCCCAGCGCUUUGUGAUACACUUUCAAUGAGUCGAGUUGUUUGGGAAUGCAGCUCAAAUUGGGUGGUAAAUUCCAUCUAAAGCUAAAUAUUGGCGAGAGACCGAUAGCGAACAAGUACCGUGAGGGAAAGAUGAAAAGCACUUUGGAAAGAGAGUUAACAGUACGUGAAAUUGUUGGAAGGGAAACGCUUGAAGUCAGACUUGCUUGCCGGAGCUUGCUUCGGUUUGCAGGCCAGCAUCAGUUUUCCGGGGUGGAUAAUGACGGUUUGAAGGUAGCAGUCUCGGCUGUGUUAUAGCUUUCCGUUGGAUACGCCCUGGGGGACUGAGGAACGCAGCGUGCUUUUUGCGAAAGACUCGUCUUUUUCACGCUUAGGAUGCUGGUGGAAUGGCUUAAC